This 326-nucleotide ribosomal RNA is filed under the name Sandonidae sp. RNAcentral describes it as "SSU rRNA". It matches the Rfam family "Eukaryotic small subunit ribosomal RNA", at positions 634 to 955 of the family's 1831-position model. Lineage: Eukaryota; Cercozoa; Glissomonadida; Sandonidae. The record is from RNAcentral.
GAUUUCUGGCUUGAAACACUAAGCCGGCCACGGUUUCGUGUGUUAGUGCUUGGUGUUCUGGCCAUCCUUCCAAUCGCUGCGUACUUCUCUUCAUUGAUUAGUGCGUAGUAUUGGAUCUUUUACUUUGAAAAAAUUAGAGUGUUUCAAGCAGGCAUGUUUUGCUAUGAAUACAUUAGCAUGGAAUAAUAAUCUAGGACUUUCGGUUCUAUUUUGUUGGUGUUCUGGAGCUGAAGUAAUGAUUGAUAGGGAUAGUUGGGGGUGCUAGUAUUCAAUGGCCAGAGGUGAAAUUCUCGGAUUCCUUGAAGACUAACUUAUGCGAAAGCAUU